Molecule: unclassified non-coding RNA, 392 nt
Filed under: fungal sp.
Lineage: Eukaryota; Fungi
Description: partial internal transcribed spacer region
Rfam family: Eukaryotic small subunit ribosomal RNA (bases 1-46)
Source: RNAcentral
AAGUCGUAACAAGGUUUCCGUAGGUGAACCUGCGGAAGGAUCAUUAACACGUAUCCAAACGUUAAAACCCCCCCCGUGAACCUUCAUCCUGCUCUUGUAACCCGCGUAGUUCGCAAUCUCUGAUAAAUCAUAGCCCGGAAAGUUGUAGUGAUUCAGAGACCUCUGGCUACGUGCGAACAUUGGAACAGUUACAAUCGAGCGGUAGUUCUAUAGGCAAUGUUUCCCCAAGCAGUCAGUGUCGGAAAGUGUCAUUGAUUGUGCAAGGAGAGCGCUUCUACGAUUCCUGUAGACCGUACACUCGACCUAAUAACCCCACAGUUUAAUGUGAAGCUCAAUGUAAUACAUUGGGUAAAAAAACCGAACAACUGUUAACAAUGGAUAUCUUGGUUCUC